AAACAAACUUGGCUUUUUGGCUAAGAUCAAGUAUAGUAUCUGUUCUUUUCAGUUUAGUUGGAUGCUUUGUGUUUUAGAAGGUUAUUAAAUAUGGAUUCGUUUUUACAGAGUUCUAUCCUCCUUCAAUGCCUGGGGUUCCAGGAGGAAAUCAGAGCUUUUUCCCAAAAAUGGUACCUCCUAUUUUUCCCAAGGACUCCUC
This is a non-coding RNA of Pan troglodytes (chimpanzee), 199 nucleotides long. NCBI's taxonomy places the organism in Eukaryota, Metazoa, Chordata, Mammalia, Primates, Hominidae. The record is from Rfam.